AAUAAACCAAGAGCAAAAAAUUCUCAAUAAAUGAUAUUUAUAGCGAGCAGGUGAUGGUGGAAGUCCUGUAAUUCCUCAGUAUUGAGAUAUCCUUUUGCUGGAUUUUUCCUGAAGGUUAGUAGGGAAAAACGGUUGACUCACGUUACGAGUUACUGAGGGACAGGGGGAAUUCUGUCUAAACUAAGGUGGUACCACGAACUUUCGUCCUUUCU
RNAcentral lists this non-coding RNA (212 nucleotides) under Streptococcus varani. Lineage: Bacteria; Bacillati; Bacillota; Bacilli; Lactobacillales; Streptococcaceae. The record is from RNAcentral.